RNAcentral lists this ribosomal RNA (429 nucleotides) under uncultured bacterium. Its description in RNAcentral is "bacterial SSU rRNA". It matches the Rfam family "Bacterial small subunit ribosomal RNA", at positions 355 to 775 of the family's 1533-position model. The record is from RNAcentral.
UGAGGAAUAUUGCGCAAUGGGGGCAACCCUGACGCAGCAACGCCGCGUGAGUGAGGAUGGUUUUCGGACCGUAAAGCUCUGUCGAGCGGGAAGAAAUGCAUGGUGGCUAAUAUCCAUCAUGCUUGACAGUACCGCUAAAGGAAGCACCGGCUAACUCCGUGCCAGCAGCCGCGGUAAUACGGGGGGUGCGAGCGUUGUUCGGAAUUAUUGGGCGUAAAGAGCGUGUAGGCGGCCGAAUAAGUCAGAUGUGACAUCCCUGGGCUUAACCCAGGACGUGCAUUUGAAACUAUUCGGCUGGAGUAGGGGAGAGGAAAGUGGAAUUCCUGGUGUAGAGGUGAAAUUCGUAGAUAUCAGGAGGACCACCGGUGGCGAAGGCGACUUUCUGGCCCUAUACUGACGCUGAGACGCGAGAGCGUGGGUAGCAAACAG